GUGGGGAAUCUUGCGCAAUGGGCGAAAGCCUGACGCAGCCAUGCCGCGUGAAUGAUGAAGGUCUUAGGAUUGUAAAAUUCUUUCACCGGGGACGAUAAUGACGGUACCCGGAGAAGAAGCCCCGGCUAACUUCGUGCCAGCAGCCGCGGUAAUACGAAGGGGGCUAGCGUUGCUCGGAAUUACUGGGCGUAAAGGGCGCGUAGGCGGACAGUUUAGUCAGAGGUGAAAGCCCAGGGCUCAACCUUGGAAUUGCCUUUGAUACUGGCUGUCUUGAGUACGGGAGAGGUGAGUGGAGCUCCGAGUGUAGAGGUGAAAUUCGUAGAUAUUCGGAAGAACACCAGUGGCGAAGGCGACUCACUGGCCCGUUACUGACGCUGAGGCGCGAAAGCGUGGGGAGCAAACAGGAUUAGAUACCCGUGUAGUCC
RNAcentral lists this ribosomal RNA (425 nucleotides) under uncultured bacterium. RNAcentral's name for it is "partial 16S ribosomal RNA". It matches the Rfam family "Bacterial small subunit ribosomal RNA", at positions 354 to 796 of the family's 1533-position model. The record is from RNAcentral.